GAUGAACGCUAGCGGCAGGCCUAAUACAUGCAAGUCGAACGGGAUCCGGGGCUUCGGCCCCGGUGAGAGUGGCGCACGGGUGCGUAACGCGUGAGCAACCUGCCCGUCCCAGGGGGAUAGCCCCUCGAAAGAGGGAUUAACACCGCAUGAAGUUGAGGGGCGGCAUCGCCUUUCGACCAAAUAUUCAUAGGGGACGGAUGGGCUCGCGUGGCAUUAGCUAGUUGGUGGGUAACGGCCCACCAAGGCG
RNAcentral lists this ribosomal RNA (247 nucleotides) under uncultured bacterium. RNAcentral's name for it is "partial 16S ribosomal RNA". It matches the Rfam family "Bacterial small subunit ribosomal RNA", at positions 28 to 275 of the family's 1533-position model. The record is from RNAcentral.